CUCCCGGCAGCGCUCCCGCCCUGCCGACAGCCCCGGGCCCGCUGUCCCGACGUGGGGGUCCCGCUCCGGGCGCACCGCCGCGCUUCCCCGUCCUUCCCGAGCGCGGGGCCGGCUCGCUGGGAUGCUAGGAGUUCACCAGAUCUUUUUAUGUGGUUGCUGGAGCAUUGCCCUGGGACAGCAGUAAUGAUGGAUGGAUGAACAGAACACACUUCAGGUGUCCGACACUGGUGAUCUCUCUGACCAGACAAGCAGCGGAGCAGCCGGAGAUGGGCCCGACCCACGCCCCAAGAGAGGGAUCUGCGGGGUGCACGGGAACCCUCUGCUCUCGGGAGCCUGACCACGGUGUGGUCGUGUGGCACAGCAACAAGGAAGGGAUGGGUGCAACCGAAGUGCCAAAACUGACGGUAUUUAUUAAAUAAAUAAAAGGGCACAAACAAGGAUGCAAAACAAAACAUGAAGAGGCUGCUUUGGAAGACCUUGAAGUGCGGCUGACACACAUCUAUGU
Molecule: long non-coding RNA, 505 nt
Filed under: Chloebia gouldiae (Gouldian finch)
Lineage: Eukaryota; Metazoa; Chordata; Aves; Passeriformes; Passeridae
Description: Erythrura gouldiae (Gouldian finch) lncRNA (ENSEGOG00005006323.1)
Source: RNAcentral